GAUGAACGCUGGCGGCGUGCUUUAUGCAUGCAAGUCGAACGGUCCCGAUUUAUCGGGACAGUGGCGGAUGGGUGAGUAACGCGUAAGUAACCUGCCCUCAAGUGGGGGAUAACCCUGGGAAACUGGGGCUAAUACCGCAUGUGGUGGUAGGGUGAUGCCCUAUCACUAAAGCCUUCGGGCGCUUAAGGAGGGGCUUGCGUCCGAUUAGCUAGUUGGUAGGGUAAUGGCCUACCAAGGCAGUGAUCGGUAGCUAGUCUGAGAGGACGGUCAGCCACACUGGGACUGAGACACGGCCCAGACUCCUACGGGAGGCAGCAGCAAGGAAUUUAUGCAAUGGGCGAAAGCCUGACAUAGCGACGCCGCGUGGGGGAUGAAGGCCUUCGGGUUGUAAACCCCUUUUCUCAGGGAAGAAUAAUGACGGUACCUGAGGAAUAAGUCUCGGCUAACUACGUG
Molecule: ribosomal RNA, 453 nt
Filed under: uncultured bacterium
Lineage: Bacteria
Description: bacterial SSU rRNA
Rfam family: Bacterial small subunit ribosomal RNA
Source: RNAcentral